RNAcentral lists this ribosomal RNA (253 nucleotides) under uncultured bacterium. RNAcentral's name for it is "partial 16S ribosomal RNA". It matches the Rfam family "Bacterial small subunit ribosomal RNA", at positions 524 to 776 of the family's 1533-position model. The record is from RNAcentral.
UACGGGGGGGGCAAGCGUUGUUCGGAAUUACUGGGCGUAAAGGGCUCGUAGGCGGCCAACUAAGUCCGACGUGAAAUCCCAAGGCUUAACCUUGGAACUGCGUCGGAUACUGGAUGGCUUGAAUUCGGGAGAGGGAUGCAGAAUUCCAGGUGUAGCGGUGAAAUGCGUAGAUAUCUGGAGGAACACCGGUGGCGAAGGCGGCGUUCUGGACUGCAACUGACACUGAGGAACGAAAGCCAGGGGAGCAAACGGG